This 484-nucleotide ribosomal RNA is filed under the name uncultured bacterium. Its description in RNAcentral is "partial 16S ribosomal RNA". It matches the Rfam family "Bacterial small subunit ribosomal RNA", at positions 30 to 507 of the family's 1533-position model. The record is from RNAcentral.
AUUGAACGCUGGCGGCAGGCCUAACACAUGCAAGUCGAGCGGAUGAAGGGAGCUUGCUCCUGGAUUCAGCGGCGGACGGGUGAGUAAUGCCUAGGAAUCUGCCUGGUAGUGGGGGAUAACGUCCGGAAACGGGCGCUAAUACCGCAUACGUCCUGAGGGAGAAAGUGGGGGAUCUUCGGACCUCACGCUAUCAGAUGAGCCUAGGUCGGAUUAGCUAGUUGGUGGGGUAAAGGCCUACCAAGGCGACGAUCCGUAACUGGUCCGAGAGGAUGAUCAGUCACACUGGAACUGAGACACGGUCCAGACUCCUACGGGAGGCAGCAGUGGGGAAUAUUGGACAAUGGGCGAAAGCCUGAUCCAGCCAUGCCGCGUGUGUGAAGAAGGUCUUCGGAUUGUAAAGCACUUUAAGUUGGGAGGAAGGGCAGUAAGUUAAUACCUCGCUGUUUUGACGUUACCAACAGAAUAAGCACCGGCUAACUUCGUG